AUCGGCUUUGUGUGUGGUGGGAUCGGGGUCCUCAAUCAUGGCCUUCACUUUCGCUGCUUUCUGCUACAUGCUGUCCCUGGUGCUCUGCGCUGCGCUCAUCUUCUUCGCUAUCUGGCACAUAAUCGCCUUUGACGAGUUAAGGACGGAUUUUAAGAGUCCCAUAGACCAGUGCAACCCUGUCCAUGCGAGGGAGCGACUGAGGAACAUCGAACGCAUCUGCUUUCUCCUGAGAAAGCUGGUGCUGCCGGAGUACUCCAUCCACAGCCUCUUCUGCAUCAUGUUCCUAUGUGCGCAGGAGUGGCUCACCCUGGGGCUGAACGUUCCCCUGCUUUUCUAUCAUUUUUGGAGGUAUUUCCACUGUCCAGCAGACAGCUCAGAACUAGCCUAUGACCCACCGGUCGUCAUGAACGCGGACACCUUGAGCUACUGCCAGAAGGAGGCCUGGUGUAAGCUAGCCUUCUACCUCCUGUCCUUCUUCUACUACCUGUACUGCAUGAUCUACACCUUAGUGAGCUCCUAACUCAGACCCUGCUGAUGGAGAGGCCGAGGCUGGGGACCACUGCGGCUGUGGCUGGAGGAGACGCCCAGCUUGACAGAGACUGAUCGGAAGGAACUGGAGUCACACGGCAGACAGGGCCAUGUUACCCAUGUGCAUCAGUUGCUGCUGUGUGUGUUGCUGCCUUCGCUGUUCACAUUCCACAUGGAUGGCAGAGCCCCUCUGAACGUUGGGGGUGCCAGCUUGUAGCUGAUGAAACCCGCAACCUCUGGAGCUACAGUUGCUGCUUCUCUUCAUCCACUUCACUGAGCAUUGGUGCCCUGCAAGUUCACAUGGACUGCCUGUCUGGAUGGCAGGAAUGAGGCUGGAAGCUAGACGCCACCAACGAAGGGACAGAAUGACUCGGGGCCAAGGCCAGGUCUUCAGAGAUGAUCGAGACCCUCAUGGAUACUAAGGAUACCAAGACUCUUUUUUUCCAGAGCUGUGGCCUCCAGAUUUGCUCAUUGCACGGCCCAAAUCUGGGGUCUGCCCCAAACCUGCUGCCAUGUCAUUUUAGGCUCUGUUUAUGUCCAAGAUCCUAAGCAGUGACCUCCUGAGCUGGGUGUGGGGCAGCAUGCUGGCAGCAAGUUAUGUCCAGUGCAAACUGGGGAGGAGUGUGAGAAAAUGGAUUUUUAAAAUGUUUGCAACAUGUCCCAGGUGUGAAUUCUUCACCAUCCCCAAGAUGUAUUCUGCCUCUGCACCAAAAUUCCAUCAGUCAUGACAUGCCAAUCAGCUGGCUGGCAUGAGCCAAAGCCUAAAAAAAAAAAAAACUCCUCAAAACAGUGUGAAGCCCAGAACAGAGAGCAGAGCUCCUGUGGUGUGGACAGCCAGGAAGCGAGACAACAUAAUUAUCACUUCAAUUGAUGCUGCACAGCCUUCAUGCUGCUCAGUUCAACGUGGGGACAUCCGCUUAUUUGAAUUUUCCACUUGGCUUUUGCUCCUUUUUUGGGUGGGAGUUGUAUGAGGGGGUGUAAAUAGUGACGAGGCUGAGAUUUUUGUGAUGUUUAAAUUAGGCACAAUGAUUUUGACCUGAUUUCCCAAACUUCCUUGCUUUUCUACCAUUACUCACACAGUCACACACGCACACACACGCACACACACGCACACACGCGCACACACACACACACACACACACACACACCCCACACUAUUUAUAUACGCUCCCAUCUGAAUCCUGUGACUCAGGUUUUUGAAUGGUGUUUGUGUAACACAGUGUGUGCUAUGUUUAAAAUGCAGCAACAACUUCAGUGGCUCACCUCACCGGCUCCUUCAUUCCAUCCCAUCCUGGGUUGGCUGUGUCUCCAUAUGGUUGGCAAACUAGUAGGUAGGAGAAACAGUUUCAAAAUGACACCGUGUUUCUAAAAAUUUUUACAGAAAACAAAAUAGAGAGGGAAAAAAUAAAACUCACAAAAAAGAACAAAACCAAAAUGCAGCUUCCCUGAGGGGCCGGUAGCAUAAAAGCCUCUGCAACCACAUUUGGGGGGAAUGCCUUCCCCGUACCUGGUAACUUGUUGAGGCUGCAUGGCCUCAGAUGGGUACCAUUCCCAGGAUGGUAUGGCCAGCAAGUGCUGGGGUCUGGGUAGCAGGUGCAAAGCUAACUCCAUCACCACCCUGCACAAAAGUAGCUGACAUGGAGAAUGUAAGGAAGGGGUCUGUGGGCUCCUCAAGAUGAGUGUUUCAUACUUCACCUUCUUCCAAAAGGGCUUGAAGUAGCUUUUGACAGGGGGCACCAAUAUGAAAAAUUGUCAACGUGGAACUGGGAAAUUCAUGCUCCAAGGCUUUGCAUGUUGUAGACGACUUUCCCAGCACAACCCUCCACAAAACCCAGCUGUUUUCUCAGUAUUAAAGAGAGGGAACUUUGAAGAUUUGCCUUUGAACCUGAUGUCUGACUUAGAGAACAUGCCCUUUCUGUCGCCCCCGUAGCUUGAGGUCCUGCUAAAGUUCAGCGGCUAGCACUGACUUUUAUGAGAAAAGAUUUUAAGGCGUACAGCGGCAGAGGGAGUGCUUGGGGGCAUGGAUUCAAGGGAGGUGAGCGAUUCUUCCCUCGGUCCUUUAAAAUCAUUCAAAGCUGCCAGUGCCUCUUGGGCAGUUCUUACCUAUUUAUGAAGAAAAAGCAUUCCAAACUCCCCCCCCCGCCCCCACCAUCAGCUGCGAUUGGGAAACAAGUCCAGUGAUCUCAUGGGAAUUACAGUUAAUUUCCAGUCCCCCAGGAGAAGCUCAUUUUCCUGAUGGUAAAAAUAAGUUUGAUGGGCUACUACCGAUGGAACGCAGGUGUGUGCCAGGUGCCUCGGUAAAUGAGAAGAGCCGUGUGCAGGCCGCGUGCAGAUACACACAGCUGCUGGGGGGUGUGGCCUUAGAACCAUGCAGGCUUCUUCCCCGGAAUUUUGCUUGCGUGGCUAACUUUGUCUCUCUCAUUGUAUGCCCCAUGAAAGGAAGGAGUGAGCAAGACAGGAAAAAUGCCUCAAAUUUCCCAGGGCCUCAAGUAUUCAUUUGUUGAGCAAGCUAGAACUCAUGUACCACACACAGGUCAGGGUGCUUCAGGGGCAUAGCCUGUGCCUGGACUGGCCUGGAGUAUGGGCCUGUUUCCCUGCUGUAGCCCUGUGUGGCUGUGCGGUGUGACCUGGAUGGACGGUGGAGAGUCACAUAAGGUCACCCUGUGCUGAGGCGAGAGGAGAAUGUCAGGCUCCACUCUGGCUUGAUGACGUCACAUCUGCUAUGCCUGAUAACGCCGCGAGUUUGCUGAUGUCAUUAGUACGUGGAAAUUGCCCGUGAUGAAAGUGUUCACACCGCAGAACUCGGCAAAUGGACAUGUUAGACAUCCUGCUCUCUCUCCCUCUCCCCCACCCCCAUCUGAGUGCGAGCUGAGCACUUACUUAUUAGCACACCCUGGUCUUUACUCUGGCACAGUUGUGUGACCAUAUCACGGGAGCCAGUAACCAAGGUGACAAUAGCUGUAUUGUCAACACAGCAGUAGAUACACAGUGGCUGGUGGGUUCUGGGUCUAAGCACUUGGUGGCACUGCCUUCAUGACUGGCCUCUCGUCCAUUCUGGCUGUGACACCGGUGAUGCUGUUCCUGUUGUUCACUUGAAAUCAUGUGGGGCUCAUUCAGCUUUCUGUGAACUUGACAGAUCGCUACCACCUUAUAAAGAGAAAGUUAUUUUUGUCUCCUGGGUGUAGAGGUUUCUGUCCCUGGUUAUUUGGCCCCAUCCAUGACUUUGGGCUUCUGGUGGCACAUCAUGGUGGGAAGAAAGAGACUGGGGUCUUAGAGCCUCUUCUAAAGAUUUUACAGCUUCCCAGUGGUGCCAACUCUGGGGACCUUUUUGGAGACGUUAGUGUCCAAGCUUCAAGGCAGGUGUGAUGGCACAUGCUUAGAAUCCCAGCCUUCUGAGGCUGGAGUAGGAGAAUCAUGAGUUCAAGGCAACCUGGGCUAUACAGCGAGAGCCUGUCUUAAAAGGAAUCAAGUUCAGCAGCAGGAGGGCAACCCUUUAAUAUGCCCAGCACUGCCAGGAAUGGGGCUUGGGGCAGAGCUAAGAUCAGCCACACCCACUCUGCAAAGCAUGACAAAAUGCUGUUAUCCUCAAACCCUAGUCCCACUUUUCUUUGCUAACUUGGGGCCUUUGUUCUUCUUUUGAGGUGUCACUUCAGGUCCCCAUUCAAGGGGGUCCCACACCUCCUCCUGCAGUACUGGGGUGAAUAGAAUCCAUAUUCUGCUAUGUAACUUUGCCAAGAUUCCUCCUCAGGGGCGGAUGUAAGCUGCAUCCACCCUCCUCCUAAGAGUCAACCGGAGUUUUCUCCAGGGAACCAAUGAAUUUAUUGGGCUUCUUUACAGAGCAUGGGUGAAGGGUUACUUACAGGAGUGUGGGUGCUCCGCCCCCAGAAUGCCACACCUGGAAAGUCUUCAUCCAUCAGGGGCGAAGCUUCCUUCCCCAUAGCUAUAGAUGAGAACCCCCCUUGCCGCCACCACUGCACCCCAUCUCACCUACACUAACCUGUCCAGUUCCUGUCAGAGAGCAGCUGGAUACGGAGGUGAGAGUCUCUCGACUCUCCCGUGUCCAGGAAGGGAUGUAAACAGCUCAGCUGGGAUAUUCCUGUUGCAAGGUGCUCAGCUGACAUCCCCAAGAUGGCAGUUGCUCGGCUGGGGUGCGGGGCAGUCACUCCUAAUAGACGUCCACCCACUUCACUGGGUGGUCCAAACCAGCAGAAAGAGAGCUUCGUAAGGUACCCGCUCUUGUACUUGGUACAUAAAAUAAGCCCCGUUUCUGCAGCUGUUCCUCUUUCUCAGCUGAUUCUGGGGCUUUGCUCUCCCUGCACAGCCUCUUUCAUUCAGUCUCCAUACUGUACCCCCAGGCACCUCAGGGAAGACACCUGCCUCGUGAUUUCAAGACACAGUGGUCUCAGACCUUAUUAUCCUCUCUGGAAUUUGACUACCUGAGAAGCCAGCAAGAGGGACUUAAAUGCCAGCUCUGAGUCUCUGUUCAAACAUCACCAGAAGUGUGAACAGUAGGCCCUUGUCCUUUUCAGAAAUGCUUGGCACAUCACAAAAAAAGCAUCACCUUUCUGGCAGGAUGAUGUGUGUCUAUAUCAGAACAAGAGAAGGAAAGAGAAAGAGAGCCCAGUUAAAUGUCAGGCCCACCACAGUAAGCCAUAAUGAGACAACCAUUGGCCCAUGCCUAGAAUUGUGGGUUUGGAUCCUGCAGUGAAGACAGCCUGCAAACCCAGUGCAAACAUUACUGAUAAGACUCAGCAGCAGCCCUAGCUCUAACCCUGUCUGAUUAUAAGGAAAAGAGCACAGAUUGUAUUUCACAUUUAAGACAUGUGUCACCGUGUUCUGGGUUCAUUACUGGGAACCUCAACAUUGACUUUCAGUUCCACAGGAAAGGAGGAUCCAUCCAUGCCGGACUCAGACCCUGUAGCAUAUGGAUGCUAGCGUAGUCGAGGAUGCUCAACUAGGCGUCUCAACUGUCUCAUGGAGCAGUGUCACCCUAAGACGAUGGUCCUCUUGAGUGGGCAUCCUUGGGCCUUGCACUUGACCUGUUUCAUACAGUUUGCAUUCAAAGACAGCAAUCAACACAGGACAAGAGUUAAAUCAGGCAAAGGAAAAGGGAUUGGAGAAAAAGUCAGCUAUUCAGACACCCUGGAAGAAACACAUCAGCAGAAGGUCUGAAAACUGGGCUUAAAGGUAGCUGUGAAAUUCAAAGGGAUGAGGGCUGAAGGACUUGAGGGCUGACCAGAUUGAGUGGUGGGUGUUUACUAGACUCAUGGCUCAUGCAGUUAAGAGCGCAAUCUGCCUUCCUCACAGGACAGCAGAGUCGGGCCCAGUGAUCGAAAGGCUGGAGAGAGGCCCUGGCGUCCUUGGCUUCCCUGGCUCACUGUGAGGAGCUUGUUCAACCCACAGUUCUGCACUUGAGAAGAUUCACUGAGAAUGUAGUGGAGUAGUUGCUGCUUUCUGGAGCUCAGAACACAGAAUUGUGAACAUAUUCAGAGCAUGGUAUCUCUAGUCAGAGAAGCUUCUGGAAGAGGAAUGCUUCAACUAUGUGAGAACCUGCCAUGCCUGUACCGCAGAACAUUCUUGAGUUCAGUAGCAGAUAGUCAGAGGUACAUGGAGGUACAUCUAGAAUCUUCUAAUCACUGACACAUGGACUCAGACCUAAGGGAGCAGACAGCUGCUCCUCCAGACGCAGAGUGACUGAUGGAAUUCUGUCGUUAUCUUUCAGGUACAGAACAAUUUAGGGAACCCUUACCCAAGAAGAGCAAAGGGCUGGCCUUUGAAUGUUGUUUAUCGGCUUGAGAGAGUCUUGGCUGGUAGUCAAAACAGCGUUAUUUGAGGAGUGACAUACAGGAAACUCAUGCCUAAUUCCGCAGGUGCCAUCAAGUGGCUUGAAGUCUCUUGCAGAGCUGGCUGUUGGGGUGUACCUCAGGAAAUAACAAGCUCAGUAUCUCCUACUCUGUCCACAGGGAGUUCUCUGAUACGGUGGGAUUCUAGAAGGGAAGAGAGUGUCGGGCACCUCUAGAGAAUGACUUUAGCCUCCUCUCCUGCCCUUCUUUGUGCAAGUUCAAUUGUGUGUGUGAGAUUGGUCAGCUUGGCCCCAAGGGAAGUAGGAGAGAGAAGACUUGAGGUGUGUAAUGAGAUUCAGCCUGUGUUUAUUCAAACACCACCUCUCUCCACCUACAGAGCUCUAGAGCAGCUAGAGGGGAGUAGAAUCUGAGGAUUCAGAGUUGACACUGGGGUGUAAGGCAUUCAGGAAUGAUGGGGAUCCUGGCUCCAUCACCAAAUACUUUCUUUAUGCUUAGUUUUCAGCCAGGGCUGUGUGGUUGACCAGCCAACGUACGCACUCUUACAGUGCGUCAUCGAAUGAGCACCGGUCUUGAGGUGGGAAGGACCUGAUUCCAUUUCUUGUUGACUGUGUGGUGUCGGUCACAUUUCGUAGCCUUUCGGAGUCUCAGUUCCCUCAGCUGUGAGGGAGGAACACUAAUGAAUGGUUUUGCAAGGAUGACAUGAACACUGAGUAAAAAUAUUUUCACGAAAUCAACUUACAGUGUGGAAUAUGCAGCACAGAUAUGAGAGAUUAUUAACAUAGUCACAGCAGUUUCUCUACAGUAAUUUACAAUAAUAACUCUAAGGGCCGGAGAUGUGCCCCAGCAGUAGCAUGCUUGCCUAGCAUGUGCGAGGUUUUAGCUUCAUCUCCAGUGCUGGAAAAAAAAAUUAAUGCAUAAAUUAAAUUUUUAUGGGCACUUUUUGUUGGAGCAAAGAGAGGUCAGAGUCAGUACAAGGGAGGGCCAAAAUGUCCAAAUGUGACUGAACCAUUAGAAGAAGGUCGGAAACGUGGUAGAUUUCUGUGCUUAAUAGUGCACUCUGGCGUUAGCGUGUCAGCUGGGUUGGGAGAAUUUUUCAAGUCUAGCAGAGACUCAGGUGAGAGGCACACUACAAAGGCUUAUAGAGCAAUAAAUUAAAUAUAUAAAUAAUAAAUAGAUUAUUAGAGGGAAAGGCUGAGAGGAAAACAAAUUGCUGCUCCUUAAACGUUUGUCCUUGGCAUGCGGAAUACCCAUCCUCUGUAAGACUGCUGACUGGUAGCGCAUAGACAUCUCUGAUGCUGUAGUUUGAUGUUACCCUCAAGGUUAGUAUUUCACCCGUGUCUAGAGCUCUGAGUCCCUAAAGGAGAACCUUGUCCAUGCUGGUGACUUUACUGAGGAAGCUAUUUCUGUAGUGCACUGUGCUCAGCCAGUUUAAUUCAUAGCUUCAUUAAAUCAGCUCCAAAUCUUUCCAUUAUCAUUUUUCUAAAACUAUUUUCACUGAGAUCAAUUAUCUUCCAUGAAAAAUUCAUGAAGAUUAGUCAGGUUUCUAAAAUUAUAGCUUCUGCCCCUGUGAGUUUUCCGUGGAACCACUAAUUUUACUAGGUCCAAAUUUCCCGAGUCAGGUUUUGCAAUAUCAAAUUCUUACAGCAAUGUGUAGACACUAACAGAUUUAUUAUAGGGUGCAUUUUCAGCCUGCUGAACUUUUAUCCAAGGGUGAAAUCCUUACCAAUUCUAAUUUUGGUAGAACUUUCUAGUUUCCACGAUUAUCAAUCAAAAGGAAUUCUUCAGUAAAUCCACAAUUGCAUGCCUUAUCAUUGGAGAUAGAGUUUUUAAGCAUUGUCAAGAUUAUUAUAUUCUGGAUAGUUCUGCCAGGAAUAUCACUCCUCAUCGGAUUCAGGGAUGACCAUUUACUUUGAUACUUAACGUGUGUGGAUAGCAUUAGCUGUUGUGGAUGAAUGGCACCAGCAAUUGCGUUUGGGUAUUUAUCAGUGACUGCUAGGCUGGAGUUGGAUGUAUCUCUGGCUGGUUAUUCUACUGGGCCCCUGUUGUUGGGGUAAAUUAGAGAUGUCAGAGUUAGUAUAAGAGAGGGCCCAAAUGGCCCUAUAUGACUGAGAAUUAAGAAAAAAGUCAGAAACAUGGUAGAUUUGUAUGGUGUUAGUUAGGGUUUUAGUUAGGGUUUCUAUUGCUGUUAAGAGAUACCAUGACUAUGGUAACUUUAAUAAAGGAGGACAUUUAGAUGGGGCUGGCUUACAGUUUCAGGGGUUUAAUCCAUUAUCAUCAUGGUAAAAAGUAUGGCGACAUGCAGGCAGACAUUGUGCUAGAGAAGCUGAGAGUUCUACAUCUUGAUCUGCAGACCACAGGAAGUAAACUGUGUCCCACACGGGAUAUAGCUUGAGCAUAUAAGACCUCAAAACCUACCCCCACAGUGACAUACUUCCCCCAACAAAUCCACACCUACUCCAACAAAGUCAGAUGGGUUGGGAGAUGGAUGUAUAGCAGAGAUUCAGGUGAGAGACACAUUACAAAGGUGUCUGGAUCUAGCAUUCACAGAACACUUACUGAGUGCCAAGCAAUAGCCUGAACAUUCUAUGAACACAGUCACGGCAAGGGGUAGGUACUAUCACUAAUUCUUACUUGGCAAAUGAGGAGACUGAAGUGACAGAGACUUAACAUAUUCUCAGAGAUGACAAAUGAGCCGUUGGUAGACUUGUGUCCAGGACUCAACCCCAGGGAGUGGGCUUCAGGCUUGAACCCCUUGUUCUUGGGAUGUUCAAUUCGCCCAGGGAAGAAGAGAUACAAAGGAUAAUUGUGAAGACUGCUAUGAAGAGGUGGAAACUGUGGGGCUUGACGGAAAGGGGAUGUUUUGGCAGGUUUGGGGGCUAUUCCUUUUUUAAAUAAUAUUUUUUAGUUUUGAAAACGUACAUUUAUACUGAUUAUUCUGAUUGUAUUCGCCUGCUGUUACCUCCCUCUAGCUCCCCCUAGUGUCCGUCACUCCUCCUUCCUCCCAACUUCAUGUCCUAUUUUUGGUUACUAACCUAACACAAAGCUGGAGUAGUGUGGGAAGAGGGCACCUCAACGGAAGAAUUACCUAUAUUAGACUGGCCUGUACCCUUGUCUCUGAGGCAUUUUUCUGAAGUCCCAGCCUACUGUGGGUGGUGACAUUCCUAGGCAGUUAGGUCUGGGUUAUGUAAGAAAAGCAGUUGAGUAAGUCAGAGAGAAGCAAACCAGUACACAUGCUUUCUCCACGGCCUCUGCGUCAGAUCAUGCCUUCAGUUCCUGCCUGGCAUCCCUUGGUGAUGGAGUAUGACCAGGGAAUUGUAAGAUUAAAUAAACCUUUUCCUCCCCAAGCUGCUUUUGGACCUGGUGUUUAUAUCGUAACAACAGAAAGCAAACUAGAACACUCCCUGAGUUCAAUUAGUGAUACCCAC
Molecule: RNA transcript, 9757 nt
Organism: Microtus oregoni (creeping vole)
Lineage: Eukaryota; Metazoa; Chordata; Mammalia; Rodentia; Cricetidae
Gene: Cnih3
Gene name: cornichon family AMPA receptor auxiliary protein 3
Exons: 7
Source: RefSeq, a predicted model, not a curated record